RNAcentral lists this ribosomal RNA (550 nucleotides) under Babesia gibsoni. Its description in RNAcentral is "SSU rRNA". It matches the Rfam family "Eukaryotic small subunit ribosomal RNA", at positions 516 to 1119 of the family's 1831-position model. The record is from RNAcentral. Lineage: Eukaryota; Apicomplexa; Aconoidasida; Piroplasmida; Babesiidae.
GAUGGUGACGUAAAAUCUCACCAGAGUAACAAUUGGAGGGCAAGUCUGGUGCCAGCAGCCGCGGUAAUUCCAGCUCCAAUAGCGUAUAUUAAACUUGUUGCAGUUAAAAAGCUCGUAGUUGAAUUUCUGCGUUGCCCGACUCGGCUACUUGCCUUGUCUGGUUUCGCUUUUGGGGUUUUCCCCUUUUUACUUUGAGAAAAUUAGAGUGUUUCAAGCAGACUUGUGUCUUGAAUACUUCAGCAUGGAAUAAUAAAGUAGGACUUUGGUUCUAUUUUGUUGGUUUGUGAACCUUAGUAAUGGUUAAUAGGAACGGUUGGGGGCAUUCGUAUUUAACUGUCAGAGGUGAAAUUCUUAGAUUUGUUAAAGACGAACUACUGCGAAAGCAUUUGCCAAGGACGUUUUCAUUAAUCAAGAACGAAAGUUAGGGGAUCGAAGACGAUCAGAUACCGUCGUAGUCCUAACCAUAAACCAUGCCGACUAGGGAUUGGAGGUCGUCAUUUUUCGACUCCUUCAGCACCUUGAGAGAAAUCAAAGUCUUUGGGUUCUGGGG